RNAcentral lists this ribosomal RNA (253 nucleotides) under uncultured bacterium. RNAcentral describes it as "partial 16S ribosomal RNA". It matches the Rfam family "Bacterial small subunit ribosomal RNA", at positions 524 to 776 of the family's 1533-position model. The record is from RNAcentral.
UACGUAGGGCGCGAGCGUUGUCCGGAUUUAUUGGGCGUAAAGAGCGCGUAGGCGGCUUGUCGCGUCGAAUGUGAAAACCUGCAGCUCAACUGCAGGAUUGCAUUCGAUACGGGCAGGCUCGAGUUCGGUAGGGGAGAGUGGAAUUCCUGGUGUAGCGGUGAAAUGCGCAGAUAUCAGGAGGAACACCGGUGGCGAAGGCGGGUCUCUGGGCCGAUACUGACGCUGAGGAGCGAAAGCGUGGGGAGCGAACAGG